AAACUAGAACAUAUCAGAGAUGACCAUUCAUCGGAAAUGUGUAUUCCUUUUGAGGAAAGAAGUUUGAAGGUGAUUGUGUUAAAGGCAACCGGACAAGCAAUCAAAAAAGUUGUAGCUGCUAUUGGAAUUAUCAAGGAAAAGAAGAAAGGAAAAGAAGACGAAUGAAGCUCGGGAUGAUGAUUUGUAUUGUCUUUUUUUUUUUUUUUUUUUUGCUUUGGAUGUCUUGUUAGAUUUGUUGUUUGGAUUAUGACUUGUUGACCUUUGUAUUUUGCAUAUUAUAUGACUUGUUGUUUGGAUAUUGUUUAUUUGUGUAUGAAUAUGAUGUGUUUAAUUU
Molecule: long non-coding RNA, 334 nt
Organism: Zingiber officinale
Lineage: Eukaryota; Viridiplantae; Streptophyta; Magnoliopsida; Zingiberales; Zingiberaceae
Exons: 3
Source: RefSeq, a predicted model, not a curated record